RNAcentral lists this ribosomal RNA (449 nucleotides) under uncultured bacterium. RNAcentral describes it as "partial 16S ribosomal RNA". It matches the Rfam family "Bacterial small subunit ribosomal RNA", at positions 29 to 523 of the family's 1533-position model. The record is from RNAcentral.
AACGAACGCUGGCGGCAGGCUUAACACAUGCAAGUCGAACGGUGUAGCAAUACACAGUGGCAGACGGGUGAGGAACACGUGGGAACAUCCCUUUCGGUUCGGAAUAACGUUGGGAAACUAACGCUAAUACCGGAUACGUCCUUCGGGAGAAAGAUUUAUUGCCGAGAGAUUGGCCCGCGUCUGAUUAGCUAGUUGGUGAGGUAACGGCUCACCAAGGCUACGAUCAGUAGCUGAUCUGAGAGGAUGAUCAGCCACAUUGGGACUGAGACACGGCCCAGACUCCUACGGGAGGCAGCAGUGGGGAAUAUUGGACAAUGGGCGCAAGCUUGAUCCAGCCAUGCCGCGUGAGUGAUGAAGGCCUUCGGGUUGUAAAGCUCUUUUAUCCGGGAAGAUAAUGACUGUACCGGAAGAAUAAGCCCCGGCAAACUUCGUGCCAGCCGCCGCGGUAA